This 1658-nucleotide long non-coding RNA is filed under the name Homo sapiens (human). RNAcentral describes it as "HSALNT0387895". The record is from RNAcentral. Lineage: Eukaryota; Metazoa; Chordata; Mammalia; Primates; Hominidae.
CUGAUCCAUAUGAAUUCCUCUUAUUAAGAAAAAUAAAGCAUCCAGGAUUCAAUGAAGAACUGACUAUCACCUUGUUAAUCAUUCAGAAACAUGUUGCAGGCUUAAGCCAUUUUUGAUAUAGAUACUGAAACAAUUACUUGCUAAGAGCAAACUUGAAGUAACAAUUUGGACAAGACAGCAAAUGCUAUUGUCCAAGUUUUCUAAAGAAGAAUCUGAAGUGAAAUGACAUCAAGAGACCUAUCAAGACCUGUAUCCAGGAAAAGACCAAACCAAUGCAGACCAAACCAAUGCAGAACUCCUAUGUGCUGAUGGUGGUCUUACAUUUCCCUAAGUUUCUGCCGACUAAACUGUGCACACGUUCUCAGGACCUCCUGAAGCUGCGUCACAGGCACUAAUCAAAGAACACAACCAAGAGUUUGGCCUUUUCUUCAGCACUGGGAAUUGUGAUCCAAAGCUUUUCCUGAUGAAGCACAAAGUUGGAGAAAAAAAACGCAAACUAAACAACAACAAUGAAACAGAACAGAGUGAAUCUGCUGUAGCUCAAGAGAGGACGUAGCUGCCCCCACUCCGCAUCCCCGGGCUCGGGUUUGCCUUGCUGACCUCUGCUGCCACCUGGUGCCGCACAGAGAAACUGAGGAGAAACCACAUCAGUCUCCUUCAGCCUCAGCUUCACAUCUGUGGGUCAAGUAACCCUUUCAGAAGCUGAAUAAUGUGGGAAAGCUUUCCUCUCAGGAAAAUGCACACAUCCAACUUUGAGAAGAUGCCCUUGGGGGCGCUUCAAGGAUUCUAGAUAAUAACCCCCUUUCCCGAACAUCCAAGAACCUAAGAUUUUUUUUUUUUUUUUGAGAAAGUCUCGCUCUCUCUCCCAGUCUGGAGUGCAGUGGCGUGAUCUUGGCUCACUGCCAGCUCCACCUCCCAGGUUCACGCCAUUCUCCUGCUUCAGCCUCCCUAGUAGCUGGGGCUACAGGCACCUGCCACCAAACCCGGCUAAUUUUUUUGUAUUUUUAGUAGAGACGGGGUUUCACCGUGUUAGCCAGGAUCGUCUUGAUCUCCUGACCUUGUGAUCCACCCGCCUCGGCCUCCCAAAUUGCUGGGAUUACAGAUGUGAGCCACCGCACCUGGUCCAAGAGCCCAAGUUUUAGAUCUAGAGUGAUGUCAGCAUGACAUUGAUUUCCUGAGGCCCAGGGGCGAAGGAGCUGAGGACAGCAGAGGGGUGAAGGAACUCAGCUACAGACAGCAGCAGCUGAUGCACAGGCCUCCCAGCGCCUGAAGUCACCCGGAAUUGGGAAGUGCUCAGAAGCUUACAAAGCUGCCUCGAGGAACAGUAAGAGGACCUUGUGCAUGAAUAAUUUGUUUCCACACUGCAGAAAGAAUCCCAGACUUCUUAGAGAACCCAGUGACUUUUUGCACCUUAAAUCUGUGAAAUCCUCAUGCUUUCUUCUGCCGUAUCCAUCGUUCAAACAAACAUGAGGCAAAGCUAGACACAUUCCUGAAGGAACCCAAGAAAUUCCUCUCUUUCUCUCUCUGGAAUGAAAUGAAUUCUCUAGACCACCAGUUCUAACCUUCAAAAACGAAACCUGUUUGUGAGAUCUCCUUCAAAUACUACUGUAGACCCCAGUGUUUAUUCAUUAAAUUUUUUAAACAUUUGUUUUAUUUGG